This 425-nucleotide ribosomal RNA is filed under the name uncultured bacterium. RNAcentral's name for it is "partial 16S ribosomal RNA". It matches the Rfam family "Bacterial small subunit ribosomal RNA", at positions 354 to 796 of the family's 1533-position model. The record is from RNAcentral.
GUGGGGAAUAUUGGACAAUGGGCGCAAGCCUGAUCCAGCCAUGCCGCGUGAGUGAUGAAGGCCCUAGGGUUGUAAAGCUCUUUCACCGGAGAAGAUAAUGACGGUAUCCGGAGAAGAAGCCCCGGCUAACUUCGUGCCAGCAGCAGCGGUAAUACGAAGGGGGCUAGCGUUGUUCGGAAUUACUGGGCGUAAAGCGCACGUAGGCGGACAUUUAAGUCAGGGGUGAAAUCCCGGAGCUCAACUCCUGAACUGCCUUUGAGACUGGGUGUCUGGAGUAUGGAAGAGGUGAGUGGAAUUCCGGGUGUAGAGGUGAAAUUCGUAGAUAUUCGGAGGAACACCAGUGGCGAAGGCGGCUCACUGGUCCAUUACUGACGCUGAGGUGCGAAAGCGUGGGGAGCAAACAGGAUUAGAUACCCCUGUAGUCC